RNAcentral lists this ribosomal RNA (558 nucleotides) under uncultured eukaryote. Its description in RNAcentral is "SSU rRNA". It matches the Rfam family "Eukaryotic small subunit ribosomal RNA", at positions 1101 to 1674 of the family's 1831-position model. The record is from RNAcentral.
AAGUCUUUGGGUUCCGGGGGGAGUAUGGUCGCAUGGCUGAAACUUAAAGAAAUUGUCGGAAGGGCCCCGCCAGGAGUGGAACGUGCGGCUUAAUUUGACUCAACGCGGGAAAACUUACCAGGUCCAGACAUAGUGAGGAUUGACAGAUUGAGAGUUCUUUCUUGAUUCUAUGGGUGGGGGCGCAUGGCCGUUCUUAGUUGGUGGAGUGAUUUGUCUGGUUAAUUCCGUUAACGACAGAGACCGCCGCCUGCUAAAUAGUUCUACUAAAGGUUUUUCGUUGGUAAGAGCUUUUUAGAGGGACGUUCAUUCUCACAAGAUGAAGGAGGAUGGCGGCAAUAACAGGUCUGUGAUGCCCUUAGAUGUCUUGGGCCGCACGCGCGUUACAUGUGAUGCACUCAACGAGCAUAUAACCUUGGCCGAGAGGCCUGGGUAAUCUUGUUAACAUGCAUCGUGAUAGGGAUAGAUUAUUGCAAUUUUUAAUCUUGAACGAGGAAUUCCUAGUAACCGCGGUUCAUCAAACCCCAAUGAUUACGUCCCUGCUCCUUGUACACACCGCCC